UGUAGUUUUAUUAUUACUUUGUUAGAAUAGCUCAAUGCAGUUUAAUUAAUUGAAGGAAUUAUUUGUAUUUUACUGCCUGCUCAUGUUAGCUACUUAGCCAGACGGGGGACGAAAUUUCUCAAAACUACACCUAAUUCAGAACAGAAAACAUGCUAGGAAUAUCCCUAGGAGAAUGAAGGGUACAACCACUCAAGCGUCAAGCUUAUCUGAAGUGAUGUUGUUGCUUAAGCCGUGCGACAUGGGAUUUGGAGAGACAAAAGGAUGUCCAAGAAGUUGCUGUGCUGAGCAUUGGUUGCUGUUCUUCGGAUGUAGACGUCUAUACAAAAUAUAUGACAUUAAAAGACAGUAGCUAUAAAUUCUUCGCCACUUUAGUUCUUGUUUUUCUUCAUGAUCUUCAUCUAUUCAAGUUAAAGCCUUGAGUGGAAGUUUUUUAGCAUGGCUAUCAUAUUGACAAAUACAUAUUCCUAGAAUAAUAACUUCCUUUAUGACAAUGCCAUUCAAUAAAAAGGAACUUAGAAGUCCUAAA
Long non-coding RNA from Xenia sp. Carnegie-2017, 526 nucleotides. RefSeq lists it as uncharacterized. The record is from RefSeq and is a predicted model, not a curated record. NCBI's taxonomy places the organism in Eukaryota, Metazoa, Cnidaria, Anthozoa, Malacalcyonacea, Xeniidae. The transcript has 2 exons.